GAUGAAGAACGCAGCGAAAUGCGAUAAGUAAUGUGAAUUGCAGAAUUCAGUGAAUCAUCGAAUCUUUGAAUGCAUCUUGCGCUCCUUGGUAUUCUGAGGAGCAUGCCUGUUUGAGUGUCAUUAAAUUCUCAACUACACUGACUUUGAAUUGGUGUGGCUUGGAUUUGGGGGGAAAAUUGUUGUGGGCUUUUUGUAUAGUCUGCUCCCCUGAAAUUGAUUAGCGGUACCUUUGUGGAACUGUCUACAGGUGUGAUAAUUAUCUACAUCUUAGACAUCUGCUGGAAUGCUGCUUUCUAAACCUUACUUGUAUUGACAAUCUUGACCUCAAAUCAGGUAGGACUACCCGCUGAACUUAAGCAUAUCAAUAAGCGGAGGA
This 376-nucleotide unclassified non-coding RNA is filed under the name soil metagenome. Its description in RNAcentral is "partial contains 5.8S ribosomal RNA, internal transcribed spacer 2, and large subunit ribosomal RNA". The stretch from base 1 to 120 matches the Rfam family "5.8S ribosomal RNA", at positions 35 to 154 of the family's 154-position model. The record is from RNAcentral.